AAGUAUUUUCUGCCCAAUGAUUAGUAUUUAAAUGGCUGCAGUAAUUUGACUGUGCAAAGGUAGCAUAAUAAUUAGUCUUUUAAUUGUGGACUGGAAUGAAAGGAUAGAUGAAAAAUAGUUUUUAUUAUUUUUAAUAUUAAAAUUUUAUUUUUAAGUAAAAAAGCUUAUUUAUUUUUUUGGGACGAAAAGACCCUAUAGAAUUUUAAUAUUUUCUAUUAUUUAUUUUUUUGAAGUUCUUUUUUAAGUAAUUACAAAAUUUUUUGGUUGGGGGGAUAGAUAAAAAUUUAAACUUUAUUUUUUUUAUUCAUUUAAUAGUUGAUAAUUUUGAUCCAAUAAUUUUGAUUAAAAGAAAAAAUUACCUUAGGGAUAACAGCGUAAUUAUAGUGGGGAGAUCAUAUUUAUAUUAUAGUUUGCGACCUCGAUGUUGAAUUAAGAAAAGUUUAAGGGGUAGUUUCUUUAUAUACUAAGUCU
RNAcentral lists this ribosomal RNA (471 nucleotides) under Mileewa mira. RNAcentral describes it as "partial large subunit ribosomal RNA". The record is from RNAcentral. Lineage: Eukaryota; Metazoa; Arthropoda; Insecta; Hemiptera; Cicadellidae.